GGGGUUAUAGCUCAGUGGCAGAGUGCAUGCCUAGCAUACAUGAGGCACUGGGUUUGAUCCUCAACACCCCA
This 71-nucleotide transfer RNA is filed under the name Marmota marmota marmota (Alpine marmot). It matches the Rfam family "tRNA". From Rfam's summary of the family: Transfer RNA (tRNA) molecules are approximately 80 nucleotides in length. Their secondary structure includes four short double-helical elements and three loops (D, anti-codon, and T loops). Further hydrogen bonds mediate the characteristic L-shaped molecular structure. tRNAs have two regions of fundamental functional importance: the anti-codon, which is responsible for specific mRNA codon recognition, and the 3' end, to which the tRNAs corresponding amino acid is attached (by aminoacyl-tRNA synthetases). tRNAs cope with the degeneracy of the genetic code in two manners: having more than one tRNA (with a specific anti-codon) for a particular amino acid; and 'wobble' base-pairing, i.e. permitting non-standard base-pairing at the 3rd anti-codon position. Lineage: Eukaryota; Metazoa; Chordata; Mammalia; Rodentia; Sciuridae. RNAcentral also lists the same sequence under 1 other name. The record is from Rfam by way of RNAcentral.